This 447-nucleotide ribosomal RNA is filed under the name uncultured bacterium. Its description in RNAcentral is "partial 16S ribosomal RNA". It matches the Rfam family "Bacterial small subunit ribosomal RNA", at positions 329 to 792 of the family's 1533-position model. The record is from RNAcentral.
CUCCAGACUCCUACGGGAGGCAGCAGUGGGGAAUAUUGCACAAUGGGGGAAACCCCGAUGCAGCGACGCCGCGUGAGUGAAGAAGUAUUUCGGUAUGUAAAGCUCUAUCAGCAGGGAAGAAGGAGGACGGUACCUGAGUAAGAAGCCCCGGCUAACUACGUGCCAGCAGCCGCGGUAAUACGUAGGGGGCAAGCGUUAUCCGGAUUUACUGGGUGUAAAGGGGGCGCAGACGGCGAUGCAAGCCAGGAGUGAAAGCCCGGGGCCCAACCCCGGGACUGCUCUGGAAACUGCGGCGCUGGAGUACGGGAGGGGCAGGCGGAAUUCCUGGUGUAGCGGUGAAAUGCGUAGAUAUCAGGAGGAACACCGGCGGCGAAGGCGGCCUGCUGGACCGUGACUGACGUUGAGGCUCGAGAGCGUGGGGAGCAAACAGGAUUAGAUACCCGGGUA